Molecule: long non-coding RNA, 2533 nt
Filed under: Homo sapiens (human)
Lineage: Eukaryota; Metazoa; Chordata; Mammalia; Primates; Hominidae
Description: HSALNT0253539
Source: RNAcentral
UGGAGUGGAAGUCCCUGAAUGGUGCGUGGUAGGACCUCAUGCUGGGCUGUGGCUUUGACGAAGGUCUCAGGCUGGAGAAUGGAUUAGCGGAGAGCAAAUGGCUCCUCCGGGCUGCGCCAUGGGUGGCCUGGGGCUCACAUUCAGGGGCUCACCUUGCAGAAACCCCACCAGGUUCUCACAUCAAGGACCCAGGAAAAAGCCCCUCAUGACUGUGAGAGAGGGAGGGGAGAGAUACCCUUCUAUGUAUCACAGACCUACCCUCCAAGGGAGACUCACCCAUCUAGAGGACACGCAGAAACAGCACCCUCCUGGAGAAAGGGCCCCACUCAGCCUGCCCUGGCCUUGCUGGAGGUGGGGCUUUUCGGGAAAAGAACGAGGAGGCUGAAGACAGGAAAGCCAGCGGGUGGGGAGGCUGGGACCCUGGGGGAGGGGUGGGAACAUUGUGAAGGCCACACCCCAAGCCCUGGGGCCCUGUAUUGGGUCUUUGUUGCAUUGCUAUAAAGAAAUACCUGAGACUGGGUGAUUUAUAAAGGAGAGAAAUUCGACUGGCUCAUGGUUCUGCAGGCCGUACAGGAAGCCUGGUGCUGGCAGAUCUGCUUCUAGGGAGUUCUCAGGAAGCUUCUGGUCAUGGUGGAAGGCAAUGCGGAGCCAGCGAGUCACAUGAUGAGACCCCGAGCAAGAAAGAGAGGCCGGGAGGUGCCACACUCUACAACAACCAGCAACCUGGAGCUGUGCGGACUGAGACUGAGAUGCAUCGCUGAAACUCUCUUUAGGUGUUCCCUACCAUUUCUUCUUGGAAAAGAAGGUUUUACCUCCUGGGAUUUUUGAGAACCUCUAACUUCUCCAUUGGGGACCAUCUCCAGGUACCACCAAAAAAGAGCACAACAGCAGCCUUGCGGAUAAGUCCUGGUCUGGAGUCAGCCACCGCUGCACACACCACUCAGAGCUGCAUCAUCGGGUUACCCCUGGAAAGGCUGCCCACACACCCACAUCCAGGGGUGUCUCGUCACUGCUGACGACUAGCACGGUGAAUGUUCUGCUUCGUGGAGAGACUAUCAGAGCUGGAAUAUCCAUAGGCUUAUAAUCUUCAUGAAUACUUCCUCUCUCAAUUGCCGUGAAAUAAUAUGGCUCCUCAGUCCAUGAAGCUGGCAUCAAUAACUGAAAUAGGCUCGGAAAAGUCCGGGCAAGAGGAACCUGAAAGCUCAGCAUGAGAUGAAGUGGCUGGAGGCACGUGAGUCCUGCACUGAUAGAGGCCGGUUCUGUCAAGCCUCACCUGGAUGAUGUGUGUGACUCUUCCCAUAGAAAGGAGCAGGCUCUCUCAUGAAGCCUCCAUUCUAGCAUUUUGUGAUCAUCUAUGACCUUAGAGGGGUCCUCUAUAACCCUGAGUCCCAAACAGGUGAAUACAGAGUGGGCUCACACUUAUUUCUCCAUUAUUCCUGUGUUCUUUCAGGAGGCUGACCAUCAAACCUACUUAGAAGUCAGACCUUGAAUGGUUCAAGCCUUCAGUGGAGGAAGUGACUGCAGGUGUGGAAAUCACGAGAGAACUUGAAGGAGAAGUGGGGCCUGAAGAUGGGGCUGAAUUGCUGCAAUCUCAUGAUAAAUUUGAAAGGAUGAGAAAUCGCUUCUUGCAGAUGAGCUAAGAAAUGGUUUAUUAAGUGGAAUCUACUCCUGGUGAAGAUGCCGUGAACAUUGUUGAAAUGACAUCAAAAGAUUUAAAAUAUUAGGUAAACUUAAUUGAUAAAGUGGCGGAGAACUUUGAGAGAUGAACUCCAAUUUUGAAAGGAGUUCUACUGUGGGUAAAAUGCUGUCAAACAGCAUUGCAUGCCACGAGGAAAUCUUUCACAAAAGGAACAGUCAAUUAAUGCAGCAAACUUCAUUGUUGCCUUAUUUUAAUAAAUGGCCACCCCAACCUUCAGCAGCUACCACCCUGAUCAGUCAGCAGCCAUCAACGCUGAAGCAUCUCCACCACAAAAAGAUUAUGGCUUGCUGAAUGCCCAGAUGAAUGCCAGCAUUUUUAGCAAUACAGUAUUUAAUGAGGGUAUGUACCUUGUUUUUUAGACACAGUGGUGUUGCACGCUUUACAGGAUACAGUAUAACAAAAACACAACUUUAAAAUGCAUUGGGAAACAAAAACAUUGUGUGACUGGCUUUAUUGUGAUGUUUGUAGAGUCUGGAACUGAACCCACAACAUCUCCCAGGUCAGCCUGCAUGCCGUUCCUCAUGUUCAAAUCUACUUGUGUAUCUUCCAGAUUUUUAUCGACUUCUAUUUAUUUGUUUUUGCUUCACCUUUCCUGUUAAGAGGACUCCAAGGCAUUUUCUUAUCUGCUUAGUUGCUAUUCUCGCUAGUAGUAUCUUUUCUUCCCUUGCACCUUCUAGCUGGUUGCUAUAGCUCUGGUUGUUGAUGUUUUAACCAUUACAGAGGGACUACUGAUUUCUGCACUUCAGUUUGUCCUGCGACCUUACUGACUUUUUAUCCUUUGUAGUAGUUUUUCAGUGGAUUCUGUUGGAUUAUAUAUGUCUAAAUAUAAUCUGC